AUCUACAGCCAUACCUGUUUGUCAAUGUCUAAUCUUGCCAGAUCUUGAAAGCUAAGCAGGACGGGGUCUGGUUAGUACUUGGAUAGGACACCAGUGGGAAUUACAGGUGCCACUGUGGAGC
RNAcentral lists this ribosomal RNA (121 nucleotides) under Periophthalmus magnuspinnatus. Lineage: Eukaryota; Metazoa; Chordata; Actinopteri; Gobiiformes; Gobiidae. The record is from RNAcentral.